This 30-nucleotide non-coding RNA is filed under the name Rattus norvegicus (Norway rat). The record is from RNAcentral. Lineage: Eukaryota; Metazoa; Chordata; Mammalia; Rodentia; Muridae.
UGACUGGCUGGAAUAGAUUUCCAAGGAUGA